AACUUUCAACAACGGAUCUCUUGGUUCUGGCAUCGAUGAAGAACGCAGCGAAAUGCGAUAAGUAAUGUGAAUUGCAGAAUUCAGUGAAUCAUCGAAUCUUUGAACGCACAUUGCGCCCUGUGGUAUUCCGCAGGGCAUGCCUGUUCGAGCGUCAUUAUAGCCACUCAAGCCUCGCUUGGUGUUGGGGCUCGCAAUCUUGCG
Molecule: ribosomal RNA, 201 nt
Filed under: Mollisia minutella
Lineage: Eukaryota; Fungi; Ascomycota; Leotiomycetes; Helotiales; Mollisiaceae
Also listed under: 2 other names
Description: 5.8S ribosomal RNA
Rfam family: 5.8S ribosomal RNA (bases 1-154)
About the family: 5.8S ribosomal RNA (5.8S rRNA) is a component of the large subunit of the eukaryotic ribosome. It is transcribed by RNA polymerase I as part of the 45S precursor that also contains 18S and 28S rRNA.
Source: RNAcentral